RNAcentral lists this ribosomal RNA (353 nucleotides) under uncultured Desulfovibrio sp. Its description in RNAcentral is "bacterial SSU rRNA". It matches the Rfam family "Bacterial small subunit ribosomal RNA", at positions 1030 to 1382 of the family's 1533-position model. The record is from RNAcentral. Lineage: Bacteria; Pseudomonadati; Thermodesulfobacteriota; Desulfovibrionia; Desulfovibrionales; Desulfovibrionaceae.
GGUGACAGGUUGCUGCAUGGCUGUCGUCAGCUCGUGUCGUGAGAUGUUGGGUUAAGUCCCGCAACGAGCGCAACCCUCGCCUUUAGUUGCCAGCAUUCAGUUGGGCACUCUAGAGGGACUGCCGGUGUCAAACCGGAGGAAGGUGGGGAUGACGUCAAGUCCUCAUGGCCUUUAUGUCUAGGGCUACACACGUACUACAAUGGCCGGUACAAAGGGCAGCCACUCAGCGAUGAGGCGCUAAUCCCAUAAAAGCCGGUCUCAGUCCGGAUCGCAGUCUGCAACUCGACUGCGUGAAGUUGGAAUCGCUAGUAAUCGUAGAUCAGCAUGCUACGGUGAAUACGUUCCCGGGCCUU